UACAGAGGGGGCAAGCGUUGUUCGGAAUUACUGGGCGUAAAGGGCGCGUAGGCGGCCUGCUAAGUCGAACGUGAAAUCCCCGGGCUCAACCCGGGAACUGCGUCCGAUACUGGCAGGCUUGAAUUCGGGAGAGGGAUGCGGAAUUCCAGGUGUAGCGGUGAAAUGCGUAGAUAUCUGGAGGAACACCGGUGGCGAAGGCGGCAUCCUGGACCGAAAUUGACGCUGAGACGCGAAAGCGUGGGGAGCGAACAGG
This 253-nucleotide ribosomal RNA is filed under the name uncultured bacterium. Its description in RNAcentral is "partial 16S ribosomal RNA". It matches the Rfam family "Bacterial small subunit ribosomal RNA", at positions 524 to 776 of the family's 1533-position model. The record is from RNAcentral.